AAGUUAUUACCGCAAACUUCUUACGGGAGAAAGCAGGGGACUUUCGGCCCUUGCGUUAUCAGAUGAGCUUAGUUCGGAUAAGCUAGUUGUGAGGUAAUGGCUCACCAAGGCGACGAUCCGUAACUGGUCUGAGAGGAUGAUCAGUCACACUGGAACUGAGACACGGUCCAGACUCCUACGGGAGGCAGCAGUGGGGAAUAUUGGACAAUGGGCGAAAGCCUGAUCCAGCCAUGCCGCGUGUGUGAAGAAGGUCUUCGGAUUGUAAAGCACUUUAAGUUGGGAGGAAGGGCAUUAACCUCUAUACGUUAGUGUUUUGACGUUACGGACAG
RNAcentral lists this ribosomal RNA (329 nucleotides) under uncultured bacterium. RNAcentral describes it as "bacterial SSU rRNA". It matches the Rfam family "Bacterial small subunit ribosomal RNA", at positions 160 to 484 of the family's 1533-position model. The record is from RNAcentral.